AAGGAGCAUCUGCGCUGCUCGCUUCGAAGAGUCGAAGCCGAGAGUGCCAGAGCCGCUUAUGUUCCCGAAUGUGGAACUGCGGAGCUCAUGGGUGGAACGCUGACAAGUUUCAACGCAUCAUGGUCGAGGUUGAUGUCCUCGGUCGCGGUGAAUAUAUCGACACACUGUUGGGUCCUGAAAGAACAGACGUUCUUUCCAGGCAAAAAAUACGAUCCGCUCGGAUCUCCUGAGAUACCGGCUUCGACCUGUGGGUUGGGGUGCUGGUCCUGGAAUUGGGUUUGAGUGGGUGUGUUGUUUGAGAACUGCACAGUGGACGCGAGCAUCUUUGUUA
RNAcentral lists this unclassified non-coding RNA (331 nucleotides) under Nocardia cyriacigeorgica. Its description in RNAcentral is "16S-23S ribosomal RNA intergenic spacer region". The record is from RNAcentral. Lineage: Bacteria; Bacillati; Actinomycetota; Actinomycetes; Mycobacteriales; Nocardiaceae.